Molecule: long non-coding RNA, 571 nt
Filed under: Salmo salar (Atlantic salmon)
Lineage: Eukaryota; Metazoa; Chordata; Actinopteri; Salmoniformes; Salmonidae
Description: lncRNA (ENSSSAG00000110815.1)
Source: RNAcentral
CCAGUCGGCAUCGAUGUAGUGCAGUGUUAAUGACAUGUAAGGCUCCAGUUGUUGUCGCGAAAUAGUGCACCUGUUUCAGGAUCAGCUCCUAUGCUAUUCUUGCACACGGCAUUUUCCAGAGUGUGAACCAUCUUCUUGAACCCACUUUGUUCAACUGAUGAAUUUAGGGACAUGUCUUUUGCUAUGUGGUACGUCAUGGCAUCUGUUAUUUCAUUCCAUAGUCUGUUUCUUGAGGUUCCUGAACGCACCCUGUCUGGUUGCCGGGCGACGAAGCUAGGCGGGAGAUCUCUCGAUUACCCGCACCUGCAUCUCAUCAGCUAUCUGCACACCUGGUCCUGAUCAUCACCUCUCCACUUCAUAAGCUCUGACCUGACAUCCAUUCCCUGCCGGAUCGUUAGCAAUGAACAUCAUUCUUCCGGAACAUUCACCCCACCCCUGCCUGGUCGUCGGUGGCUUCUGUGACAUCAUUGGAUCUGCCUAUUCACUCUCACCAACUCACCUCCGCUGCCCGCUCCGUCUCCUGGAUUAUUCUGCUUUCACAUUUGAGUCUGUAAAUAAAUACUCACCUUCG